Molecule: ribosomal RNA, 453 nt
Filed under: uncultured Diversispora
Lineage: Eukaryota; Fungi; Glomeromycota; Glomeromycetes; Diversisporales; Diversisporaceae
Description: SSU rRNA
Rfam family: Eukaryotic small subunit ribosomal RNA
Source: RNAcentral
AGCAGCCGCGGUAAUUCCAGCUCCAAUAGCGUAUAUUAAAGUUGUUGCAGUUAAAAAGCUCGUAGUUGAACUUCGGGGUUCACCCAUUGGUCAGGCUUAAUUGUCUGUACUGGUGAGAUGAAUCUCUACCUUCUGAGGAACUUUCAUGCCAUUUAUUUGGUGUGAUGGGAAAUCAGGACUGUUACUUUGAAAAAUUAGAGUAGUUUAAAGCAGGCUAACGUCUGAAUACAUUAGCAUGGAAUAAUGAAAUAGGACGGAUUGAUUCUAUUUCGUUGGUUUCUAGGGUCACCGUAAUGAUUAAUAGGGAUAGUUGGGGGCAUUAGUAUUCAAUUGUCAGAGGUGGAAUUCUUGGAUUUAUUGAAGACUAACUACUGCGAAAGCAUUUGCCAAGGAUGUUUUCAUUAAUCAAGAACGAAGUUAGGGAUCGAAGACGAUCAGAUACCGUCGUAGUCU